RNAcentral lists this non-coding RNA (117 nucleotides) under Nomascus leucogenys (northern white-cheeked gibbon). Lineage: Eukaryota; Metazoa; Chordata; Mammalia; Primates; Hylobatidae. The record is from Rfam by way of RNAcentral.
GCUGGGCACGGUGGCUCAUGCCUGUAAUCCCAGCACUCUGGGAGGCCAAGGUGGGAGGAUCACCUGAGGUCAGGAGUUCGAGACCAGCCUGGCCAACAUGGUGAAACCCCAUCUUUA